This 618-nucleotide ribosomal RNA is filed under the name uncultured bacterium. RNAcentral describes it as "bacterial SSU rRNA". It matches the Rfam family "Bacterial small subunit ribosomal RNA", at positions 1 to 595 of the family's 1533-position model. The record is from RNAcentral.
CUCGCGAAUGCUCUAGAUUAAGUUGAUCAUGGCUCAGAUCUNGAACGCUNGCGGCAGGCCUAACACAUGCAAGUCGAACGGUAACAGGAAGCAGCUUGCUGCUUCGCUGACGAGUGGCGGACGGGUGAGUAAUGUCUGGGAAACUGCCUGAUGGAGGGGGAUAACUACUGGAAACGGGUAGCUAAUACCGCAUAACGUCGCAAGACCAAAGAGGGGGACCUUCGGGCCUCUUGCCAUCGGAUGUGCCCAGAUGGGAUUAGCUAGUAGGUGGGGUAACGGCUCACCUAGGCGGCGAUCCCUAGCUGGUCUGAGAGGAUGACCAGCCACACUGGAACUGAGACACGGUCCAGACUCCUACGGGAGGCAGCAGUGGGGAAUAUUGCACAAUGGGCGCAAGCCUGAUGCAGCCAUGCCGCGUGUAUGAAGAAGGCCUUCGGGUUGUAAAGUACUUUCAGCGGGGAGGAAGGUGUUGAGGUUAAUAACCUCAGCAAUUGACGUUACCCGCAGAAGAAGCACCGGCUAACUCCGUGCCAGCAGCCGCGGUAAUACGGAGGGUGCAAGCGUUAAUCGGAAUUACUGGGCGUAAAGCGCACGCAGGCGGUCUGUCAAGUCGGAUGU